This is a long non-coding RNA of Spinacia oleracea (spinach), 2374 nucleotides long. RefSeq lists it as uncharacterized. The record is from RefSeq and is a predicted model, not a curated record. The transcript is spliced from 2 exons. NCBI's taxonomy places the organism in Eukaryota, Viridiplantae, Streptophyta, Magnoliopsida, Caryophyllales, Amaranthaceae.
UAGUUCUGUUUCUUGAACUAUGUGGACAUGGCAAUGUCAUAAUCAUUUGCAUAGAUACUUACUUUGGGAAGACUAGUAUCGGACAGACCUAUGAAACUUUACUGUAAGCGAUGAAAAUCUGUCAUAAGUAAAUUUCAUUAAAAUUAUUAGACACUAAAUCCUCAAUACCUGAGUGAUUUGAGAUUACUUGUUUGAGAACUGGUUACUUUGACGUUGACCAAUCGUCGCACCGUAAAAGGAGGCUAUAAAGGCAACGCUCAGGUAAUCACCUAUCAAACGAAGUCUAAUCUCAAGAUCGCAAGAUUGGGAUUGUCCUCCCAUAAAUCGGGAUGAGAUGCUUAAAAGUUGUACAAGGCCACUCGGAGAGCUAGAAACUGUGAAAUGCAUGGCCGUGCUCGGAUGAAUCAUAGGUUAUGAUUAUCUGUUUAUUUGAUCAGUUGAACUCUGAAACCGAGAAACACCUCUGCACAUAAUAAGGAUGACAACUCUUACUUUAUGUUCAAGAGCAAGCAUCGAGCGACAAAUGAAUUAGGAAAUGCACACUUGUCCCUAAGGACAAGUGGGAGACUGAAGGAAAUAAUGCCCUUGGUCCAAGUAUGCAUUCUAUGUUAAGUCUAAUAAGUGCGGUUCAGUAUUAAUUAACAAGUUAAUAAUUCAGUGAGAUCAAGUGAGCUGAAUGCCUAGCUAGAGGCCGCUUCAGUUCAAGUGGAAUUAAUGAUAUUAAUCCACAACUUACUCUUGACUGAACCCGUAGGGUCACACAAAAAGUACGUAAACGAAUCAAGUGUUUAAUGGCAUUAAAUACUCUAUCUAUGGAUAUUCGGAAUCGACGGAUCUUGGUUUCAGUGGGAGCUGAGAUCGUCACAAGCAAGAAAUGAAUACUCCGGAAAUGAUGAUAUUGCCGGAAACGGAAAUAUGGAUCGUAUCGGAAAUAUAAAUAUUAUCCAAGUCGUAGAUGUUGCCGGAAAUGGAAACAUGGUACGUAUCGGAAAAUAUUAUGGGAAAUGGAAAUAUUGCCGGAAUCGGAAAUAUUGCCGGAAACGGAAAUAUUGUCAGAAUCGGAAAUAUUAUCGGAAUCGGAAAAUAAUUCCGGAAACGGAAAUAAUAAAUAUUUGUUCGAAACGGAAAUUAAUUCCGGAAUCGGAAAUAUUAAAUAUUGUUCGUAUCGGAAAUGAAUGCCGGAACCGGGAAUUUAAUCGGAAGCGUAUCGUACGAAUAAGCAUCGGACGAGGCCUGCCGGACGAGGGCCCAGCACGAAGCCAGGUCAUCGCCCAGCAAGCCAAGCGCGCCACACGAACAGCCAAGGCCACGCCAGGCCCAGCGCAAGGCCAGGCCCAGCAGGCCAUGGCAGCGCGCGCAGCAAUAGGCUGCGAGCUGUGCUGCUGCUCGCGUGGGCUUGCGGCUCGCGUGGGCCCAGCGGCCGUGUGGGCUGUGCGCGGGCAUGGCCUGCACGCUCGUGGGUCAUGCUCGUGUAGAGUUUGUGUUCACAUACGAAACCUAAAUUGUAUAGGAUUUGUUUGAUGAUUAAAUUCCUAAUCCUAAAAGGAUAAAAUUAAUUAGUUAGAGUCCUACUAGGAUUCUAGUUUAACUAAUUAGUAUCCUAAUAGGAUUCCAGUUCCUUUUUCAUACCUCUAUAAAUAAGGGCCUAGGGUCAUUAUUUGCAGGUACGAUUGAAGUAUUCAAAGGGUAAGUUUUUGAAAGAAAACUCAGCCAUACACUUGCAAACACAUAGCCGAAAUUCCUAGUAACCUUAAGGGCGAUUCUAGUUGGUCUAACUUGAGGCGGAUCCGGACGUACUGUGGACUAUCUACGGAGGGACGACAUUUGGAGUCCUAAAGACUUGUUCUUGUUCGGUUCGGGCGCAGCUAGGGAAGGCACGCUACAACAUAUGUUUGCAUUGUGGAGUUCCAAAAGAGAGGUUUACCUCAUGCUCAUAUACUUCUAUGGUUAAGUGAAGAAGGAGUAGAGCUCAGUCCGCAAUUUAUAGACAGUAUCAUUCUAGCAGAGAUCCCUGACAAAGAAACAAACCCCGAAUUAUACGCUGAUGUUUCACGUUACAUGGUUCAUGGCCCCUGUGGUAAUGCUAAUCCGAACUGCCCCUGCAUGGUGGAUAAAAAAUGCAGCAAAAACUACCCCAAACAAUUCAAUUCAGAGACUACUAUCGAUAGCAAUGGUCACCCUGUAUACAGAAGAAGGGAGGAUGGCAGGUAUAUAUAUUUACAUACAAUAUAUCUAUUUAGUAUAAUAAAUGAUAUAUACAUUGCUACAUACUUAAAUCAUAAAAAUAAAACAUGUAACAGAUUCUUAAGUAUAAAUGAUUUGUACAUUACCACAUUACAUUUUAUUUUCAAUAAAUAAUAGUCCAAUUUUACUA